CGGGAAGUCCUCGAUGCUGCACC
This 23-nucleotide ribosomal RNA is filed under the name Brassica aucheri. The record is from RNAcentral. Lineage: Eukaryota; Viridiplantae; Streptophyta; Magnoliopsida; Brassicales; Brassicaceae.